GGGUUGUGAGGUUAAGCGACUAAGCGUACACGGUGGAUGCCCUGGCAGUCAGAGGCGAUGAAGGACGUGCUAAUCUGCGAAAAGCGUCGGUAAGGUGAUAUGAACCGUUACAGCCGGCGAUGUCCGAAUGGGGAAACCCAGUGUGAUUCGUCACACUAUCGUUAACUGAAUACAUAGGUUAACGAGGCGAACCGGGGGAACUGAAACAUCUAAGUACCCCGAGGAAAAGAAAUCAACCGAGAUUCCCCCAGUAGCGGCGAGCGAACGGGGAGCAGCCCAGAGUCUGAAUCAGCUUGUGUGUUAGUGGAACGGUCUGGAAAGUCCGACGGUACAGGGUGAUAGUCCCGUACACCAAAAUGCACAGGCUGUGAACUCGAAGAGUAGGGCGGGACACGUGGUAUCCUGUCUGAAUAUGGGGGGACCAUCCUCCAAGGCUAAAUACUCCUGACUGACCGAUAGUGAACCAGUACCGUGAGGGAAAGGCGAAAAGAACCCCGGCGAGGGGAGUGAAAAAGAACCUGAAACCGUGUACGUACAAGCAGUGGGAGCACCUUCGGGUGUGACUGCGUACCUUUUGUAUAAUGGGUCAGCGACUUAUAUUCUGUAGCAAGGUUAACCGUAUAGGGGAGCCGCAGGGAAACCGAGUCUUAACUGGGCGUUAAGUUGCAGGGUAUAGACCCGAAACCCGGUGAUCUAGCCAUGGGCAGGUUGAAGGUUGGGUAACACUAACUGGAGGACCGAACCGACUAAUGUUGAAAAAUUAGCGGAUGACUUGUGGCUGGGGGUGAAAGGCCAAUCAAACCGGGAGAUAGCUGGUUCUCCCCGAAAGCUAUUUAGGUAGCGCCUCGUGAACUCAUCUUCGGGGGUAGAGCACUGUUUCGGCUAGGGGGUCAUCCCGACUUACCAACCCGAUGCAAACUACGAAUACCGAAGAAUGUUAUCACGGGAGACACACGGCGGGUGCUAACGUCCGUCGUGAAGAGGGAAACAACCCAGACCGCCAGCUAAGGUCCCAAAGUCAUGGUUAAGUGGGAAACGAUGUGGGAAGGCACAGACAGCCAGGAUGUUGGCUUAGAAGCAGCCAUCAUUUAAAGAAAGCGUAAUAGCUCACUGGUCGAGUCGGCCUGCGCGGAAGAUGUAACGGGGCUAAACCAUGCACCGAAGCUGCGGCAGCGACACGAUGUGUUGUUGGGUAGGGGAGCGUUCUGUAAGCCUGCGAAGGUGACCUGUGAGGGUUGCUGGAGGUAUCAGAAGUGCGAAUGCUGACAUAAGUAACGAUAAAGCGGGUGAAAAGCCCGCUCGCCGGAAGACCAAGGGUUCCUGUCCAACGUUAAUCGGGGCAGGGUGAGUCGACCCCUAAGGCGAGGCCGAAAGGCGUAGUCGAUGGGAAACAGGUUAAUAUUCCUGUACUUGGUGUUACUGCGAAGGGGGGACGGAGAAGGCUAUGUUAGCCGGGCGACGGUUGUCCCGGUUUAAGCAUGUAGGCUGGUUAUCCAGGCAAAUCCGGAUAAUCAAGGCUGAGGUGUGAUGACGAGGCACUACGGUGCUGAAGUAACAAAUGCCCUGCUUCCAGGAAAAGCCUCUAAGCAUCAGGUAACACGAAAUCGUACCCCAAACCGACACAGGUGGUCAGGUAGAGAAUACCAAGGCGCUUGAGAGAACUCGGGUGAAGGAACUAGGCAAAAUGGUGCCGUAACUUCGGGAGAAGGCACGCUGGUGUGUAGGUGAAGUCCCUGCGGAUGGAGCUGAGACCAGUCGAAGAUACCAGCUGGCUGCAACUGUUUAUUAAAAACACAGCACUGUGCAAACACGAAAGUGGACGUAUACGGUGUGACGCCUGCCCGGUGCCGGAAGGUUAAUUGAUGGGGUUAUCCGUAAGGAGAAGCUCUUGAUCGAAGCCCCGGUAAACGGCGGCCGUAACUAUAACGGUCCUAAGGUAGCGAAAUUCCUUGUCGGGUAAGUUCCGACCUGCACGAAUGGCGUAAUGAUGGCCAGGCUGUCUCCACCCGAGACUCAGUGAAAUUGAACUCGCUGUGAAGAUGCAGUGUACCCGCGGCAAGACGGAAAGACCCCGUGAACCUUUACUAUAGCUUGACACUGAACAUUGAGCCUUGAUGUGUAGGAUAGGUGGGAGGCUUUGAAGCGUGGACGCCAGUCUGCGUGGAGCCAACCUUGAAAUACCACCCUUUAAUGUUUGAUGUUCUAACGUUGGCCCCUUAUCGGGGUUGCGGACAGUGUCUGGUGGGUAGUUUGACUGGGGCGGUCUCCUCCCAAAGCGUAACGGAGGAGCACGAAGGUUAGCUAAUCCUGGUCGGACAUCAGGAGGUUAGUGCAAUGGCAUAAGCUAGCUUGACUGCGAGCGUGACGGCGCGAGCAGGUGCGAAAGCAGGUCAUAGUGAUCCGGUGGUUCUGAAUGGAAGGGCCAUCGCUCAACGGAUAAAAGGUACUCCGGGGAUAACAGGCUGAUACCGCCCAAGAGUUCAUAUCGACGGCGGUGUUUGGCACCUCGAUGUCGGCUCAUCACAUCCUGGGGCUGAAGUAGGUCCCAAGGGUAUGGCUGUUCGCCAUUUAAAGUGGUACGCGAGCUGGGUUUAGAACGUCGUGAGACAGUUCGGUCCCUAUCUGCCGUGGGCGCUGGAGAAUUGAGGGGGGCUGCUCCUAGUACGAGAGGACCGGAGUGGACGCAUCACUGGUGUUCGGGUUGUCAUGCCAAUGGCACUGCCCGGUAGCUAAAUGCGGAAGAGAUAAGUGCUGAAAGCAUCUAAGCACGAAACUUGCCCCGAGAUGAGUUCUCCCUGAGACUUUAAGUCUCCUGAAGGAACGUUGAAGACGACGACGUUGAUAGGCCGGGUGUGUAAGCGCAGCGAUGCGUUGAGCUAACCGGUACUAAUGAACCGUGAGAGCUUAACCUUACAACGCCGAAG
RNAcentral lists this ribosomal RNA (2924 nucleotides) under Klebsiella quasipneumoniae. RNAcentral describes it as "bacterial LSU rRNA". It matches the Rfam family "Bacterial large subunit ribosomal RNA". The record is from RNAcentral. Lineage: Bacteria; Pseudomonadati; Pseudomonadota; Gammaproteobacteria; Enterobacterales; Enterobacteriaceae.